Molecule: transfer RNA, 76 nt
Filed under: Candidatus Saccharimonadota bacterium
Lineage: Bacteria; Candidatus Saccharimonadota
Also listed under: 1 other name
Description: tRNA-Thr
Rfam family: tRNA
About the family: Transfer RNA (tRNA) molecules are approximately 80 nucleotides in length.
Source: RNAcentral
GCCGUGAUAGCUCAGUUGGUAGAGCAGCCGCCUUGUAAGCGGCAGGUCGCCAGUUCAAGCCUGGCUCACGGCUCCA